UGGGGAAUAUUGGACAAUGGGCGCAAGCCUGAUCCAGCCAUGCCGCGUGAGUGAUGAAGGCCCUAGGGUUGUAAAGCUCUUUCACCGGUGAAGAUAAUGACGGUAACCGGAGAAGAAGCCCCGGCUAACUUCGUGCCAGCAGCCGCGGUAAUACGAAGGGGGCUAGCGUUGUUCGGAUUUACUGGGCGUAAAGCGCACGUAGGCGGACUAUUAAGUCAGGGGUGAAAUCCCGGGGCUCAACCCCGGAACUGCCUUUGAUACUGGUAGUCUUGAGUUCGAGAGAGGUGAGUGGAAUUCCGAGUGUAGAGGUGAAAUUCGUAGAUAUUCGGAGGAACACCAGUGGUGAAGGCGGCUCACUGGCUCGAUACUGACGCUGAGGUGCGAAAGCGUGGGGAGCAAACAGG
Molecule: ribosomal RNA, 404 nt
Filed under: Actinomycetes bacterium
Lineage: Bacteria; Bacillati; Actinomycetota; Actinomycetes
Description: Actinobacteria bacterium partial 16S ribosomal RNA
Rfam family: Bacterial small subunit ribosomal RNA
Source: RNAcentral